UGAAUACGAGAUGCUACGGCGUCGAAGCAGUGUAUGUCAGACUUCCAAGAAAAGCUCGCAAUGUCAUAAAUAAAGAAUGCCUGUACCAUAACCGACACAGGUGGGUAGGUAGAGUAUACUAAGGGGCGCGAGAUAACUCUCUCUAAGGAACUCGGCAAAAUAACUCCGUAACUUCGGGAGAAGGAGUGCCUUCUAUUAGAAGGUUGCAAUAACAAGAUCCAAGCAACUGUUUAUCAAAAACACAGGUCUCCGCUAAGUCGUAAGACGAUGUAUGGGGGCUGACGCCUGCCCAGUGCCAGAAGGUUAAAGAAGUUGGUUAGCUUUGGCGAAGCUGAUGACUGAAGCCCAGGUGAACGGCGGCCGUAACAAUAACGGUCCUAAGGUAGCGAAAUUCCUUGUCGGGUAAGUUCCGACCCGCACGAAAGGCGUAAUGAUUUGGAUACUGUCUCGGAGAGGGACUCGGUGAAAUAGACUUGUCUGUGAAGAUGCGGACUACCUGCACCAGGACAGAAAGACCCUAUGAAGCUUUACUGUAACUUGAAAUUGAAAUUGGACUUUAUUUGCGCAGCAUAGGUGGAAGGCGUUGAGAUUACUCUUGCGGGAGUACUGGAGCCAUCAGUGAGAUACCACUCCUAUAAUGUUAGAUUUCUAACUUUGGAUCAUGAUCUGGUCAAAGAACAGUUUCAGGCGGGCAGUUUGACUGGGGCGGUCGCCUCCCAAAUGGUAACGGAGGCGUACAAAGGUUUCCUCUGAACGGGUAGAAAUCGUAUCUAGAGUGUAAAGGCAUAAGGAAGCUUGACUGUGAGACCUACAAGUCGAGCAGGGACGAAAGUCGGUCUUAGUGAUCUGACGGUGCUGAGUGGAAAGGCCGUCACUCAACGGAUAAAAGUUACUCUAGGAUAACAGGCUGAUCUCCCCCAAGAGUUCACAUCGACGGGGAGGUUUGGCGCCUCGAUGUCGGCUCAUCGCAUCCUGGGGCGGUAGUACGUCCCAAGGGUUGGGCUGUUCGCCCAUGAAAGCGGUACGCGAGCUGGGUUCAGAACGUCGUGAGACAGUUCGGUCCAUAUCCGGUGUAGGCGUUAGAAUAUUGAGAGGAGCCUUCUUUAGUACGAGAGGACCGAGAAGGACAUACCUCUGGUGUACCAGUUAUCGUGCCAACGGUAAACGCUGGGUAGCUAUGUAUGGAGAGGAUAACCGCUGAAAGCAUCUAAGUGGGAAGCCCACCUCAAGAUGAGUAUUCUCAUC
This 1245-nucleotide ribosomal RNA is filed under the name metagenome. RNAcentral describes it as "bacterial LSU rRNA". It matches the Rfam family "Bacterial large subunit ribosomal RNA", at positions 1564 to 2818 of the family's 2925-position model. The record is from RNAcentral.